This 3009-nucleotide long non-coding RNA is filed under the name Sus scrofa (pig). Its description in RNAcentral is "lncRNA (ENSSSCG00005003778.1)". Lineage: Eukaryota; Metazoa; Chordata; Mammalia; Artiodactyla; Suidae. The record is from RNAcentral.
AUGAUGGUCAUUCUGACCCAUGUGAAGUGAUACCUCAUUAUAGUCUUGAUUUACAUUUCUCUAGUAAUUAGCCGUGUUGUAUUUUCAUGUGCCUUUAGCCAUCUGUACAUCCUCUUUAGGAAAAUGUCUCUGAGUCUUCUGCCCUUUUUUUUUUUUUUUUGAUUGGAUUUGUUUUUUGGUCUUGAAUUCUUUCCCGUUGUGGCUCAGUGGAUUAAGGACCUGGCGUCUCUUGGAAGAUGUGUGUUUGAUCCCUGGCCUCAGUAGGUUAAGAUCCAGUGUUGCUCCAAGCUGCUUUUUUAGGUUGCAGAUGCAGCUGGGAUCCAGAUGCAUUGUUGCCUCGUCUGUGGUGUAGGACUCAGCUGCUUGACCCCUGCCCCGGGAACUUCUGUAUAUGCCACAGGUAUGGCCUUGAAAAGGGAAAAGUACAAAUUUGAUUCUUAUGUAUUCUCAUUGGUAACCACAUCAAUAGUUUAAAACAAGAAUCUCAAUCAACAAUCUCAAUCUCAAUUUUAAGGGAAGGAACAUUUUAUCCCUGAUAUUUAGAAUUGCUAAUGUUUGGGGAUAAUAAAACAAUUUUCAAGCAGUUUUAUUAUUGUAUUUGGAGUCCUUACAGAGAAAGUUCACCUACUUUUUGACUGCCGCUUGGUGAACUUCUCCCAUUGCCCCACUCUAGAUGUGUUACUACUUUGAGAGCAAUAACCCUAUAGUUUGUAAAUGUCUCUCUUCAGUAUCUUCUCUAUAUCUUUAUACACUUUAUCAUGAGUUUUUCAUUGUUUCCUCCUUUGGUCAGAGCUUAGUUUUAGCUUAUGUAGAAUUAUAAUACCCUGGUAAAGGGAAACUAUAAUAUGGAAAUUUAUGGUAAUGUGGCUUUUAAGCCUUUAGGAAGCAGAUAAAACUUUAAUGGUCGUAUAUUACCUAGUUCAUCUCAAUUAACAGUUACUGAAUGAUAAAUCAUUUUAGAAAUGACAGCCAAGUUUGGGGUUUAGUUGAAGAUAUGUUCAGGUCAUUAUGAAGACCUUAAUCAUUAUUUGGUAAAUAUAAGAGCAUAUUUUAUGAACUUAACGGGUUUUUUGAUAUUUGAAAUAUCCAUAAUGGGCAGAUCCAUAGAGGUAGAAAGUAGAUUAUGGUUGGGAGGUGAGGGAGGAGUGGGGAGUGACUGCUAACCGGUAUGGAAUUUCUUUGGAGUGUGAUAAAAAUAUUCUAAAAUGAAAUAGUGUUGAUUAUAUAACUCUGAAUAUAGCUAAAACCACUGAAUUGUACACUUUAAAGAACUGAGUUUUAUGGUAUAUGAAUUAUAUCUCAAAGCUGUUUAAAGAAAAGUCAGAUUUUAACACCCUUUUCAUUGUUUUCUUGCUUACUUUGAUUAUCUAUCAGGUUGAAGACUUAUUAGCUACUGGGUGGCUCUGUAAAUUAUUUUGUUGAUCCUGAAUCCUGAGUUUGUGCAAAGGAUAUCUUUAGUUUUUACAUGUUAUUUUAAGAAGUAAUCCAGUGGAGUCAGUUCAAGGGAAUGACAGGGGAAGAAUCUUGCAUUUGCUCAUUAAAUACCAGCCAGAUGCUAUCAUGUGGGUUAGGUAUUUUAUAUAUGUCUUUAUGUUCUUUACAUUUUAAAGGUAAAGAAGCUGGAGGGGUGGUGUGAUUUGUACAAGGUCACACAGUGUAAAAAUGGCAGUUCUCAGAUUUGACUGAGUACUGUAAGAGGCUAGUUGAGCCCAGUGUGUAGCUCCUCAUGGGGUCAGGCUGAAGUUUUUUAAGUAGUUGAUCUUUGUUUAUUGUAUUGUUUAUAAAGGGAGAGAGUGCCCUAAACAACUUCUGCAUAUUUGAAGCAAGGUAGCAAGUGCACUCUAAUGCAUAUUUCUGGAAGGAUUUGCUGCCCUUUAAGAAUGAUGGAGGUAGGAGUUCCCGGCGUGUGUCAGCAGAAACAAAUCCGACUAGGAACUGUGAGAUUGCAGGCUCUAUCCCUGACCUUGCUCUGCUCAAUGGGUUAAGGAUCCUGCAUUGCUGUGGCUGUGGCUACGUAGGCCAGCAGCUGUAGCUCUGAUUCAGCCCCUAGCCUGGGAACCUCCAUAGGUUGCGAGUGUGGCCCUGAUAAGCUAAAAAAAAAAAAAGAAGGAUGAAGGUUUGUUAAGUCAUUCAUAGUAGUACAGUAGGUGCAAUCAGUGUUUAAAACUUAAAAUGUGUUUUUAGAUAUUUACAUUUCAUUUACUAAUUUAUAUUCACAAUUAAAAUUUUAAAUCAAUGAGGGAUUUUAUAAGUUUAGUCUUUUCAGUUUUAAUCCCAAGUUUGUGUAUAGAUCUAGUCAUUACAACUUUGUCGGGAGAAAAAUAGGUAUAGAUAAAAUACAUAAUGUAUGGAAUGUUUUUUCUUCUAAUCAAAUGAUUUUAAUAUCCUGGAACCAAUUUUUUAUUUCUUCACUUGAAGUCUAGGAGAAACUAUUUGAUUCAUAAAAAUGUUUUAUGGCCAACUUUGGGUGGACACAAAGUUUACUUAACUAGUCACAGUAAAAGUGAUUUAGAAACCUGGCAUCUGUGUUAGAAAGUAGAGCAAUGGCAUGGAUAAAAUAUUUGGCAUUUCCUAAAAUCGCAUCCUGGAAUAUUUCUUGAGUAAAUAGAAAGGAAAGAGUUGAGAAUUGAUUUCAGUUUGGUGAACCAAAAUGGAAGUAAGGAAUAGAAAAUUAUCUAUUGUAGAGAGUUCCCGUUAAGAACCCAACUGGUAUCCAUGAGGAUGUGGGUUCCAUCCCUGGCCUCAUUCAGUGGGUUAAGCAUCCGGCCUUGCCAUGAGCUAUGGUGUAGGUUUCAGACAGCUCAGACCUGGCAUUGCUGUGGGUCUGGCCAUCAGCUAGAGUUGUGAUUUCUACCCCUAGUCUGGAUCGAGGAUGUGACCCUAAAAAGAAAGAUGACCUGUUGUAGUAAGUGGACAUGAACAGGUUAAAUGUCCUGAUGAGGGGGAGGUGGUCUUUGUUCUAAAGUAAAAAGUUUGAGUGAAGGGUAGACCCUUGGAACUUAAGGGAGU